Molecule: ribosomal RNA, 483 nt
Filed under: uncultured bacterium
Lineage: Bacteria
Description: partial 16S ribosomal RNA
Rfam family: Bacterial small subunit ribosomal RNA
Source: RNAcentral
UUGAACGCUGGCGGCAGGCCUAACACAUGCCAGUCGUGCGGAUGAAGGGAGCUUGCUCCUGGAUUCAGCGGCGGACGGGUGAGUAAUGCCUAGGAAUCUGCCUGGUAGUGGGGGAUAACGUCCGGAAACGGGCGCUAAUACCGCAUACGUCCUGAGGGAGAAAGUGGGGGAUCUUCGGACCUCACGCUAUCAGAUGAGCCUAGGUCGGAUUAGCUAGUUGGUGGGGUAAAGGCCUACCAAGGCGACGAUCCGUAACUGGUCUGAGAGGAUGAUCAGUCACACUGGAACUGAGACGCGGUCCAGACUCCUACGGGAGGCAGCAGUGGGGAAUAUUGGACAAUGGGCGAAAGCCUGAUCCAGCCAUGCCGCGUGUGUGAAGAAGGUCUUCGGAUUGUAAAGCACUUUAAGUUGGGAGGAAGGGCAGUAAGUUAAUACCUUGCUGUUUUGACGUUACCAACAGAAUAAGCACCGGCUAACUUCGUG